Molecule: long non-coding RNA, 730 nt
Organism: Lycium barbarum (goji berry)
Lineage: Eukaryota; Viridiplantae; Streptophyta; Magnoliopsida; Solanales; Solanaceae
Exons: 3
Source: RefSeq, a predicted model, not a curated record
UCGGGGCUUCAUCUCUUUCUUUCUCUAUAUUUGUCACUGUUGUUCCUCGCUGUCGGUGGUGCGAAGGUGAUGAAGACCUUGGUUCCUUUCUGAUUCACACUUCCAGGUGUGGAAUAGUUCUUCAUCUUCUUUUUGAAACACUUCCAGGUAACUCAGCUUCAAAUUUCUCUUCAUAUUCGACUAAAAUUUAGCUAAUAUGUCUAAUACUUAUUGUUUCUUUACUCUGUGUAUUCGAUUGUCCCUUUUGCCGAUUUUCCAAAAAAUCCACCUCGAUGUUGAGCUUGUGCAAGUCUUGAGUUCGAGUCACUGGUCAGUGUACCUUCAUGUUAUCAGGUUCAGAUAGCUAACCGGAGUAAGCCAGACCAGUAGGGCCUCUUUCCAGUUCCAGCCAGUGAGCUCCAUUUGGACCGGAGCUACAACCCUUGGAAUGUGCUUUGUUGACCUCAUAUUAUCUGCUGGACCUGCUACUACCUUGUGUACUCUGAGGUAACAUCUGCACUUUCAUGUUUUCUUUUUCAUCACUACUUAUUACCUGCUCUCCUUCUGCCAUAGUUCCUUUACUUGUUGUUGAUGCUUUUGCUACAUUCCCCAUGACUUCCUCAUUGAUUGUAUUAGUAUCAGAUAUGUCCUGUCUCUCUUUCAUUAUGCUUUUAUUUCCUCCUGAAUCUGCUGUUGAGAAUUCCUUGUCUGUUUGCUUGUCUUUCCCUGAUGCAUCUGUACUUGCUGCUCC